This 253-nucleotide ribosomal RNA is filed under the name uncultured bacterium. Its description in RNAcentral is "partial 16S ribosomal RNA". It matches the Rfam family "Bacterial small subunit ribosomal RNA", at positions 524 to 776 of the family's 1533-position model. The record is from RNAcentral.
UACAGAGGUCUCAAGCGUUGUUCGGAUUCAUUGGGCGUAAAGGGUGCGUAGGUGGCGUCGUAAGUCAGGUGUGAAAUCUCGGGGCUUAACUCCGAAACUGCAUUUGAUACUGCCGUGCUUGAGGACUGGAGAGGAGACUGGAAUUUACGGUGUAGCAGUGAAAUGCGUAGAGAUCGUAAGGAAGACCAGUGGCGAAGGCGGGUCUCUGGACAGUUCCUGACACUGAGGCACGAAGGCCAGGGGAGCAAACGGG